CCCGCGGUUAUACGAGAGACCCCAGUUGAUAGCUACGGCGUAAAGAGUGGUUUGGGGCCACCCAUCAAAAUAAAGCCAAAGACCUCCCAAGCUGUCAAACGCACUCCGGAGACACGAAACCCUAACACGAAAGUAGCUUUACCUUCCCCCGACGCCACGAAAGCUAAGAA
RNAcentral lists this ribosomal RNA (170 nucleotides) under Myleus schomburgkii (disk tetra). RNAcentral's name for it is "partial small subunit ribosomal RNA". Lineage: Eukaryota; Metazoa; Chordata; Actinopteri; Characiformes; Serrasalmidae. The record is from RNAcentral.